Molecule: ribosomal RNA, 805 nt
Filed under: uncultured bacterium
Lineage: Bacteria
Description: bacterial SSU rRNA
Rfam family: Bacterial small subunit ribosomal RNA
Source: RNAcentral
UUGAGCGAGGGGAUGGACUUCGGUCUGUCUUCCUAGCAGCGAACGGUCGCGUAACACGUAAGCAACCUGCCUCGAAGUUUGGGAUAGCCCUCCGAAAGGAGGAGUAAUACCGGAUGUGGAUAUAUUUAGACAUCUUUUUAUAUCUAAAGCAGCAAUGCGCUUCGAGAUGGGCUUGCGGCCUAUCAGCUAGUUGGUGAGGUAACGGCCCACCAAGGCGACGACGGGUAGCUGGUCUGAGAGGAUGAUCAGCCGGAUUGGGACUGAGAUACGGCCCAGACUCCUACGGGGGGCAGCAAUUAGGAAUCUUGCGCAAUGGGCGAAAGCCUGACGCAGCGACGCCGCGUGACUGAUGAAGUCUUUCGGGAUGUAAAGGUCUUUUCUGAAGGAAGAACACAAUGACGGUACUUCAGGAAUAAGCCCCGGCUAACUACGUGCCAGCAGCCGCGGUAAUACGUAGGGGGCGAGCGUUGUCCGAAUUCACUGGGCGUAAAGCGCGCGUAGGCGGACUAUUAAGUUGAUGGUGAAAUCCCGAGGCUCAACCUCGGAACUGCCUUCAAAACUGAUAGUCUUGAGGUUUGGAGAGGGAAUUGGAAUUCCAGGUGUAGCGGUGAAAUGCGUAGAUAUCUGGAGGAACACCCAUGGCGAAGGCAGAUUCCUGGCCAUAUCCUGACGCUGAGGUGCGAAAGCUAGGGUAGCGAACGGGAUUAGAUACCCCGGUAGUCCUAGCCGUAAACGAUGGAUACUAGGUGUUAGAGGUAUCGACCCCUCUAGUGCCGAAGCUAACGCAUUAAGUAUCCCGCCUGGG